GGGUCAGUAGGUUGGUCGUGCCACCGGUACGUACUGGUCUCACUGAUUCCUCCUUCCUGAAGAACCGUAAUGCCAUUAAUUUGGUGUUGCGGGGAAGCAGGACUGUUACUUUGAAAAAAUUAGAGUGUUUAAAGCAAGCUAACGCUUGAAUACAUUAGCAUGGAAUAAUAAAAUAGGACGAUCGAUCCUAUUUUGUUGGUUUCUAGGAUUGACGUA
RNAcentral lists this ribosomal RNA (216 nucleotides) under Glomeromycotina sp. RNAcentral describes it as "partial small subunit ribosomal RNA". The stretch from base 40 to 216 matches the Rfam family "Eukaryotic small subunit ribosomal RNA", at positions 686 to 864 of the family's 1831-position model. Lineage: Eukaryota; Fungi; Glomeromycota. The record is from RNAcentral.